UACGUAGGGUGCGAGCGUUGUCCGGAAUUAUUGGGCGUAAAGAGCUCGUAGGCGGUGUGUCGCGUCGGCCGUGAAAACCUGGGGCUCAACUCUGGGCGUGCGGUCGAUACGGGCAUCACUAGAGUUCGGCAGGGGAGACUGGAAUUCCUGGUGUAGCGGUGAAAUGCGCAGAUAUCGGGAGGAACACCGGUGGCGAAGGCGGUUCUCUGGGCCUUACCUGACGCUGAGGAGCGAAAGCGUGGGGAGCGAACAGG
Molecule: ribosomal RNA, 254 nt
Filed under: uncultured bacterium
Lineage: Bacteria
Description: partial 16S ribosomal RNA
Rfam family: Bacterial small subunit ribosomal RNA
Source: RNAcentral